Molecule: ribosomal RNA, 210 nt
Filed under: uncultured fungus
Lineage: Eukaryota; Fungi
Description: partial small subunit ribosomal RNA
Rfam family: Eukaryotic small subunit ribosomal RNA (bases 42-210)
Source: RNAcentral
GGAGGAGAGCCAAUGUCCGUUGCAAACGUGCGCAGCGGCUCUCUUCCAUCCUUCUGUUAACGUUUCUUGGUAUUCAGUUACUGGUUUCGGGCUCAGAUAUUUUACCUUGAGAAAAUUAGAGUGUUUCAGGCAGGCUUGCGCCGGAAUACAUUAGCAUGGAAUAAUAGAAUAGGACUUGAAUCUCCUUUGUUGGUUUGAGGGAUUUAAGUA